GACGAACGCUGGCGGCGUGCUUAACACAUGCAAGUCGUACGGUAAGGCCCUUUCUGUGGUACACGAUUGGCUGACGGGUGAGUAACACGUGCGUAACCUGCCCACCCCUUUCUUUUAACGCUCGUAAACUAGUUCUAAUUCUGGCUAUGUGCUCCUUCUGCCUGCUGGGGGUUGGAAAGCUCCGGCGGUUGUGGGUGGACUCGCGGGCUGUUUGCUUGUUGGUGGGGUAGUGGGCUACCAACGGGGCGACGGGUAGCCGGCCUGAGAGGGUGACCGGCCACAUUGGGAAUGAGAUACGGCCCAGAACCCUAAGGGAGGGAGCAGUGGGGAAUAUUGCACAAUGGGCGCAAGCCUGAUGCAGCAACGCCGCGUGCGGGAUGAAGGGCUUCGGGUUGGAAACCGCUUUCAGCAGGGAAGAAGCUUUUUGUGACGGUACCUGCAGAAGAAGCACCGGCUAACUACGUG
Molecule: ribosomal RNA, 465 nt
Filed under: uncultured bacterium
Lineage: Bacteria
Description: partial 16S ribosomal RNA
Rfam family: Bacterial small subunit ribosomal RNA
Source: RNAcentral